CUGCAUCCACUGCUAGACCUUCAACAGUUGAUGGCUGUUCUUCCGGUUUGCCCUGGGAUGUAAAUGAAUGCCCCUUGUGCUUUCUGCCUGCCUUUGUAAUCAAGACUGAUGUGGGCAGUACAUUU
This is a small nucleolar RNA of Phodopus roborovskii (desert hamster), 125 nucleotides long. RefSeq annotates it as small nucleolar RNA SNORA31. The transcript has a single exon. Lineage: Eukaryota; Metazoa; Chordata; Mammalia; Rodentia; Cricetidae. The record is from RefSeq and is a predicted model, not a curated record.